RNAcentral lists this ribosomal RNA (468 nucleotides) under uncultured bacterium. RNAcentral describes it as "partial 16S ribosomal RNA". It matches the Rfam family "Bacterial small subunit ribosomal RNA", at positions 28 to 507 of the family's 1533-position model. The record is from RNAcentral.
GACGAACGCUGGCGGCGUGCUUAACACAUGCAAGUCGAACGGAAAGGCCCUGCUUUUGUGGGGUGCUCGAGAGGCGAACGGGUGAGUAACACGUGAGUAUCCUGCCCUUGACUUUGGGAUAACUUCAGGAAACUGGGGCUAAUAUCGGAUAGGAGCUCCUGCUGCACGGGGGGGGUUGGAAAGUUUCGGCGGUUGGGGAUGGACUCGCGGCUUAUCAGCUUGUUGGGGGGGUAGUGGCUUACCAAGGCUUUGACGGGUAGCCGGCCUGAGAGGGUGACCGGCCACAUGGGGACUAAGAUACGGCCCAGACUCCUACGGGAGGCAGCAGUGGGGAAUAUUGCAGAAUGGGCGGAAGCCAGAUGCAGCAACGCCGCGUGCGGGAUGACGGCCUUCGGGUUGUAAACCGCUGUCGCCUGUGACGAAGCGUGAGUGACGGUAAUGAGUAAAGAAGCACCGGCUAACUACGUG